GCGCCGGUAGCUCAAAUGGAUUUGAGCACCUGGUUGCUACCCGGGAAGUUGUCAGUUCGAAGCUGACCCGGCGCACCA
Molecule: transfer RNA, 78 nt
Filed under: Nitrospira sp.
Lineage: Bacteria; Pseudomonadati; Nitrospirota; Nitrospiria; Nitrospirales; Nitrospiraceae
Also listed under: 1 other name
Description: tRNA-Ser
Rfam family: tRNA
About the family: Transfer RNA (tRNA) molecules are approximately 80 nucleotides in length.
Source: RNAcentral